Molecule: long non-coding RNA, 301 nt
Filed under: Rosa chinensis
Lineage: Eukaryota; Viridiplantae; Streptophyta; Magnoliopsida; Rosales; Rosaceae
Description: sRNA RchiOBHm_Chr6g0268081
Source: RNAcentral
GCGGACGUCCGCACGGCGAUGCAGUAGCGGCGUUCCAAGUGAUGACGGCGGCUCGGGGCUUGGUGGACGGAGGCCGGAGGCAUCCCGGACGAUUCUGGGCAGCGUUCGAGGUCAGAGGAGGUCGGAGUUGCAGGUUUCUGGGCAGCGACCUCACCUGCAACUGCAGGUUUCUGGGCAGAGCUGCAACCACGUCGCCGGCGACUCCACCGACUGCAGACCGGUCCGUCCGACCCCUGGCGUCCGUCCGGCAAGCCCCGCCUCUCCGUCGCGCCCCGAGCCGAGCUGCAGAGUCGACGUCCGC